CUAGCACAAACUUUAUCCUAACUUCUCCUGUGCCAACUUGCUGCACAGCGUUUCCAAGACUUGAGAAGUAGGAACCUUACCUGCCCUUCCAGGACUGAGGAGAGGUAUUGCAGGAACAUGGAAAUCUAGGCGCCUGACAUCUGAAAGCUGCAGCUGGUUACUGCCACCAACCUGCUUGUAAGAGUAAAAGUGUCUAGGUCCCAUAAUGUAAUUUCCUGAUCCAGAUUCUGUGCUUCUGUUCUGAGUAAUGUUCCAGCAGGAAGGACGCUGGGGAUGGCACGGCCAAAACGAACCUCUGCUGGAGCAUUGUGCAGGCUGGAGACUCAGAAAAUACACCUGAAAAGUAUUUGUCUGCAAUAUCAGCUGUAUCUUCUUCUGAACAGCCAUUUCUUUUGCCUUUUAAAGAAUGAGAUGGGACUAAUCAUCUUCUUCCUAUGCGCUUAUGUACCAAAGACAGCAGCAGGUCAUUGCAAAUGGGCGGAAGUUCUGAAAGAUUUGGAGCAGAUCAAGACAUCCAAAGACAUUGACGUCAGUUUAUAUACUGCAAACACAGAUGAGGAUAAAGAAUGCCAAGAACCUGUAAUAAGAUGCUUUUUCUUAGAGACAAAAGUGAUUCUUCAAGAAUGUCUUAUCAAAAAUUGUAGUAAAACACAGGAUGUAUUUAACAUCUGGAAAAAUGGAAAUGCAAGGUUAGAAAAUAGCAAGUUGAAUUCCACAAUAUCAGCAAAAUGCAAGGAAUGUGAAGAGUAUGAAGAAAAAAAUUUUGCAGAAUUUAUUCAGAGUUUUGUAAAGGUUAUACAGAAGGAAUGUAAACACUGACCAAAAGACACAAGCUGGGAACCAAGAUGCUUCCAUGAAUGUCUUCAGAGAAAUUAGGUUAUCGGCAACAAUAAACUGGAAAGCACAUCACUUAAAACUCCUACUUACAUAGCAUAACAUGUAAACAGAGAGUAAUACAAUCCCUGUAAUUCACAAUGUAUUCAUAACUGAAUACAUACAAAUGAUAUUACUUAUGAAAUACAAAUGAAAGGAAUUUUACAGGGUUUAAAGUUUCUUAUUGACUUACAGUGUCUUUAUUUUUUGGUAAGUCCAUGGGAAAAGAAAUCCUGCCUAACUCACCAACUUUUCAACAAAUUUCUUUAAAAAGAUCUCAAGAUAUCUGCAGUGGGAACCUCCUCAUGAGCAUCAGUUCAGGGCUAACUGAAUGGGGUUUCAGCAAAAAGCUGUUCUAUUAUUAAUAAUAAUAUAAAAUUAUCAUACCUGUUAAAGCUUUGGCUAUAGCUAUUUUUCUUAUGUGAAACAUUUACCAUCUUGUGCUCCUAAAAGAUCCUAGUUCAUCUGUCACUUCUGUUCUUAGUCAUGUCUGACAGUUCUUCUUGCUAUUUUUUUUCUCAUUAGCAUUUCUUCAACAAACUAGUGUCAAAGCAUAAGCUGAGGCGUAUUGGUCUUAAAUGUCUGUUGGCUACCUCUUAAUAUAUUUAUUUUUAUUAUGGUUUUCAGGUAAACCCAAUUACUUGUUUUACCUAAGAAUUAAAAGUAAAAAAUUGGAAUAUUUAUUUAAAGAUCCUUCCUUGCCUUUUUUCCCUUUUGUACAAGGGUAGCAUAAUGGUAUUAAAAAUUAUCUCCAGUCUUCUCAACAGAUAGUAACGCUGAUGCCUGGUUCCACUGUCCAAAGACAGAACAUGCUUCAUUAGUUCUUUUGUUACCUCUGACACAGACACUACCCUAGUCAUUACUUUAGCAAAUUAGUUCCUUUAGCAAUUGCCAAAGAUUUAAAUGUAAAUUUCAACCAAUGAAAAGUAGUAUCAUCUGAACAAAGGAGGUGACCAAGUCUCUAACACACUUUAAAAAAGUAAUUCUAUGUGGUAAAAAUCUUUUCUAUGUAGUAGACUUCGUAACUUCGGUCUCCUUUUGGGAUAACAACUUUGAAGGCAGGAAUCACUUUUGACCAGUUAUUGGAAAUCAUGAUAACUGUAUUUCUAAGACUCAGUGCAACGUCACCUGUCCUCUGGUAGUUUUGAAAUGUUGCAUGGUCUUCUUUCAGCUCUUUCUAAAGUUUUCUUCAUGAUUAAUAACCAUGUCAUCCCACCUACUAUCCAUAAUAAGUAAUUCUUUCCUCAAGGUACCUCCAUUUCUCCAUUUUCAUUUGAUAAAUGGCUGAGUCACUCAGCUGUCCACUUACCAGGAAGGAAAUCUCAAUCUCAUUAUGGCAACAAAUACACUGCCUGGUACUCCCUUAUUCUUGGGUUACUCCCAACAGUCAAUCUUCAGCACUCUGAGGAGCUGAAUCUCCAGUAAACUACAAAAGAAAGAACAUAAACGUGCGUGCAGCGGAUGUCAUCUUCCAGGUGACUUAUAGACUAACUGAUCAGUAAAUUCAUAAGCAGAUUGAUAUCGGGAUUGAACAAUGGCAGAGGUAUCAGAGAAGAAAUAAAUUAUUUGCCACUGCAAAACAUCAGUGAAAGAAGUGUUUAUUAUACAGUAUAUAGUUUGAAUGAAGUAAACUGGUCCUACAUUUUAAAUUUUACCUUAAAACAAUGGUAUGCAUUGAAUAUGAUCUUCUCUUACCUGAUGUCACAUGCAUAGGCAAGCUAAUACCAAGUAACAGCUGUGGUCUUUAAUCAAAGAGAGAAAGGGAUUUUUGUUAUUUCUAGCUUUGAAGAAGCUUGAGACACAGUCCAGCAGUAUUCUUGAUGAGAGAAACAAACAGUUCAUUUGCUCAGAUAGUUUUCUUUUUCUUGGCCAUUGUGAAAAUCAGUACCUGAUUAAUUUUAUUUUGUUUUUCAUUAAAACACUUACAGUGGCAAGCAUGUUAAAUACUGUGAAUUUGUCUUUCCGAAAGAAUAUUGCUAAGCCUGUGACCACUCAGCUUGCGACCCUGUUAGCCACUGUCUGUUAGACAUUGGCCAUAUCUCUUUUAUUUUGUUUCACCUCCUUCUGUUCCAGAUGCAUAUUCUAGAGCCAAAAAAGACCAUUUGCUAAUCUAGUUCUCCAGUAUUUCUCCUGGGCUAUUCCUUUUCCUGAGAGCUAAGCUGCCAAUUGAAAGCUUUACCAUGGCAUGAGUCCUAUGGUUAUAAGAAAUGCUCUGAUCAGUAUAAAGGAUGGACUAAAUUAAUGCCAGGUUAAUAUUUUUUUUUUAUUGAGGAAAUUUAUACAUAUCCCGGAAUAAAAGACUCAAUAUGAUUAAGACAUGCAUGAAUCUGAUCUGACUUAGUACUGCAGCCAGACCAGUAAAAACUAAUUUAGGAUGCUCACUUUUGAAGUAAACGCACCUAGGUUGAAGGAAGUAUUUCUUCUACACAAGGUCUAGUCAUUUGUGUGGUAUUUACUAUCUAAUCUUUUCCAACUACUGCCGGUAAAUGUUAAGAAAGAGAUUAGUACUGUAUUUUCUCCAAUUAAUCGAACUCAGUUUGGGACUCAGGUGACUCAUAGCAGAGUGUUUCUGUGUUCAAAAAGAAAAAUAGCUCUACCUUUUGACACCAGAUGAGAAGAAUAAUGCUCUUGCACAGAAGUUUUGGACUACAUCAGUCUGUGUUCCUGACUUUGCAAUAAUUUAAAAUACAUUUUUUCCUUUCCUUUCCUGGUGUUCAGUAUCCAUAUUUCUGUCUAUAUUUUAACAGGAUAAUGCAAGUAGCACUAGUGCAGAUGGUGUCUGACAUCCUCUGCCUUCUUGUUGUUUUAUUAAAUCCUGAAGAUAAAUAUUGGUUGCUCAUCAAUAGAACUUUGCCUCCAGUGGCUCCAAAUAUUUGAGCACCCAUUGAUCAGGCACCAAAGGGGGCUUUUGGAAGAUUUUGGAAAUUCCCGUCUGGAGUCCCUGGGCCAAGGUCAUGGUGGGACAUCUUGGCAGGAGGAUUAAGAAUGUGAGAAUGAACUAGCUGCUCAGAACAAGUGGAUGAAGCCAAAGCAAGAGACACAAACUUAACUGUAUCUUUAAGUCAGUAUUUGUGUUCUUGAGAAUAGAAAUAGAAUUAUUUUUUAUCCAAAGUGGCCUUCACUUGCAGCUCAUCCAAAUGAAAGCAUGCCUUACUAGCAACAGAAAGAGCAACAGCAUUGCAUACCAGCAGCAUCAGGAGACUGAUCAACUUGACACUGAGCCAUAUUUAAAAGGGGACUAUUCUGUAGUGCAUAAAGAGCUAUACCUUCUCUAGAGGCAGAGAAGAAACAAUUAAACUUUGGUACUAUGCUUUCUAUGGAAUAUUAAUGACAUGCACUUAAGGAGGAAAAGAAAGCCAUAAAUGAGUAGGUUACGUAUUUUGCAAUAAUAAGAUCAAAUCAGCAUCUCUAAGCUGUUUCUCCUUCCAACUAUUUUCUUCCAAAACCUGGAAAUGUUGGAGAAUUCUCAUCUCCUUAUCAAAAGGUUUAAUUAGGCCAAUAAUCAACACCUUUAAAUGAAGAUAUAAAGAAAUAAAAAUCCUCCAAAACCUCAUCCACUUCUGAAUGCUUAUUAGCAGUGGAAUUUUCAUGGUCAAAUCAAGCUGAUCAGGUAUCAAUUGGAUUUGUAAAAAUUGGGAAGAAGAUGGGCAAAUACAAUAAAGAAUUAAACAUCUGGUUAAAUGACUGACUUAUCUGUACCAUGGAAUAGGCAGAUCACUACCCCUAAAAGUGAAAAAUGUAUGGGGGAAAAAGAAUUGAAGUUAGAACAUAAACAGAAAUCAGGGGGAUUUCUGGGAAAUUUCUUGAGCAAUACCUAAAGCUAAAGAAGCUUAUAUAAACUUUAGCAUACAAAUGACUGUCUUAUCCUGGUUCUCUUCCUUCUGAGUCUGAAUCAGAUUUUUCAGAGAUGGAUGGUGACUGUUGGGUAAAAUCUUUAAAGUCUCAGCUGGAUGGUGAAUGGGGAGGGAUGCAGUUGAAGAAAUGUCAGGAGUUAUCUAAGGUGUGAGGCACAAUCUUUAGAACAUGUCCUUGCAGACAAAAGCAAUGUCUUGAUGUAAAUGCCUUCAUCCUCAACUAGUUUAUUAAAGUCCGUUUGUAAAAACAUAUGUUCAACAGAUAUGGAUCAUGAUGGAGUUCCUAUCAACUGUGACUGUAAUGCUGUGUCAGCCAAGAAAAGAAUUGAAUCUUUCAUCCUAUUCCUUCAAAAUCUGAUUUCCCUGGGGAACAUAAAUGGGUUUCUAUUCCAAUGGGAUGUCUCCACAUUUCUUUCAAAUUUCUAAAACCAGAUAUUUACUUAAGAUUUAUCUUCUAAUACAGCUAGUCUCUCAUCAUAUUAAAAUUCCCUAAGCAAGAAAAAACAACAGCAUUGUUUCAGCUCCAGACUGUAAUUCCAUGAAGUCCUAAACCACACAGACUUUGCCCCUUUGUUUCUUUUCCUAGUGAGACUCGGCAUGCCUUGGGGCUUUCCACUUCAGUAUGUACAGGUCAGAGUUCAGUCCUCAUGUACAAUUACAGAAACUCUGUAGUCACCCAGAUAAACCAACCUCCUAUGCGGCUUAAUAAAUCCUCCAGCAACCUCACUUUCAUACGUCUCACAUCAACCACUUUUACAGCAUAAAAAGUAUUAUCUACACUUUCUGUUGAGCAGAAGAGUAUUUGUCAAAGUUAGAGGCUUUAACAAAGUUUGCGGCUCACUGAAACUCUUCUGCCUUACAUUACUUCUCCCUGUGCCCUUAGCUUCUUCAGCAUAAAAAAGAGGUUCAGUAAUUCUGAUUCCCUACUUUGUGAUUACAGUUUUAUAUGAAAUACUGCUUUCUUUGAACCUGACGAAAUAGAGCUGAGAAUUAGCCAAAAUUUUUCAGUGCCAAAACUUUCUAUAUCUUUCUGUAAGUCAUUGUGCACUUCAAAUUAAAUAAUCAUGUGUAAUAUGUGAUGAAAAAUUAUCUGAUGCUCAGGAGUUAACA
Molecule: RNA transcript, 5837 nt
Organism: Egretta garzetta (little egret)
Lineage: Eukaryota; Metazoa; Chordata; Aves; Pelecaniformes; Ardeidae
Gene: IL15
Gene name: interleukin 15
Exons: 9
Source: RefSeq, a predicted model, not a curated record